CUUGGGUUUUUUUUAAGCCAGUUUAUAGUUUUUUAUACAGUUUUUUUUUUUAAGCCAGUUUAUUUGUUUCUAAGUGGUACUGGCCCCAAAGGAGAGAACUUCCUCAUGGAGGUAGUGCAGGGCCCUAUACAAACUCUUCUAGAGACCAAGGGUAUGAUGAUCAUUUAGUUACUGAAUUAUGGUCUUGAAUUUGGCAAACCUUUCAAGAUACAGGCGAGUGUGAGGUCCACUCAGUGUGGAGGACCAUGAUUUCCUUGUCAUCAUCUUUCCUAUUGUUACUUUUGUGAAAGGACACUUUGGAUUAUUUAACCCUUUCCUUUGCUGGCAAUUUACCAUAUGCCUGAAAAGAGAAGAGAAAAAAAUGUUUUUUAAUCCAAGGAGAUUAAUUGUUCACAGCAAGUUGUUCUGCUCUUUUUGGUCACAGGCAUUUGACUGCUUACAUGUGGAAUGUUAUACAUGGGUUGUUAUGGAAUUGGAAUUUUCUACCUUUCAGUUCAAGACCCCUCGGAUUUAGUGACUGCAUCAGAUGAAAAAUCAGAUUGUCAGCAAGAACACUGUUUAGGAUGGUAUUGAAAUCACAAAACCUUGGGUUUGCUCAACAGUGUAACCCAAUUUUGUCAUAGACCAUGUAGCUUUGUCUCUGCAUGCAGUGUCUGUCUGUGGAGAGACCUUCUGGUAUAUUGGAAAGAAUUGGAAAAGCUGUUUGCUCUGCUAAUUUCAUUGUGUAAAUGAGUUCCCCUUCUUUUGAAACGUUAGCCUUGUGUUAGCAAAACAUAAAAUAGAAGGAAACUCAUUACACACUCUUCUAAUGGUAAGGCAGAACUAAUAAGAGAAUGUAUUUAAAAUUAAUUGUGGGACUGUAAAAAUGAACGGGUAUGUGAAUAGGCAUGGGGGGAGGAGAAGGAGAGCUUAGAGAUAGUCUUGUUUUCCCAGGAGCCAGCCUGGAUCAUUUGUUGGCAGUACAUAUUGGCUGAAGUCAGUUUUCAUUUCAAGAUGUUUUCUUCCAAUGGGCUUUUGGUGUAGGAUGUCGGAGAACCAAGAACAGGAGGUAAGAAUGUGGUCUCCAGGAAAUAGGAGGUGAUCACGGUGCGAGUUCAGGACCCCCGAGUGCAGAAUGAGGGCUCUUGGAAUUCUUAUGUGGAUUAUAAAAUAUUCCUCCAUACCAACAGCAAGGCCUUUACUGCCAAGACUUCCUGUGUUCGGCGUCGCUACCGUGAGUUCGUGUGGCUGAGAAAGCAGUUACAGAGAAACGCUGGUUUGGUGCCUGUACCUGAACUUCCUGGGAAGUCAACCUUCUUUGGCAGCUCAGAUGAGUUCAUUGAGAAGCGACGACAAGGUUUGCAGCACUUCCUUGAAAAGGUCCUGCAGAGCGUGGUUCUCCUGUCAGACAGCCAGUUGCACCUCUUCUUGCAAAGCCAGCUCUCGGUGCCCGAGAUAGAGGCCUGUGUCCAGGGCCGAAGCUCCAUGACUGUUUCUGAUGCCAUUCUUCACUAUGCUAUGUCAAACUGUGGCUGGGCCCAGGAAGAGAGGCAGAGCUCUUCUCAUCUGGCUAAAGGAGACCAGCCUAAGAGUUGCUGCUUUCUUCCAAGAUCCAGUAGGAGGAGCUCUCCCUCACCACCACCCAGUGAAGCAAAUGACCAUUUAGAAGUGUGGGCUCCAGUUGUUGACUCUGAGGUUCCUUCCUUGGAAAGUCCUACUCUCCCAACCCUCUCUUUACCAUCGUGCUGUGAUUUUGCAAGACCUGAUGAGGGAAGCUCCACUCCUCUGUCUGUGAGGAGGGCCACAGGAGGGGACCAUGCUGUGCCUUUGGACCCUGGUCAGUUAGAAACAGUUUUGGAGAAGUGAGCUCUGAGUUCUGCUCCAAUGCAGACAGAGAAGAAGCAGGCCAGGAGACUUACCCAGGUGGGACUGGGCACAGGGCAGGUGUAGGGGGAGGCUGGGCUGUGUUUUACAGUCGCCUUUGCUCAGGUUGGCUGCACAGAGGUUGAUCAUGAUAGCCCCUCGUGCCUCCUCCAUAAGAAUAAACACUGUGCAGAUGUUUGUCAGUUAAGCAUAAGGCCCAGGGGCUGUUGAUUUUGAACAGAAACUCAUAUUUACUCUCCUGGGAACUGAAUUUCUUCAGAUGAUUUGUUUAUAGGCCCAGGAGCACCUCAGGUGACUGGUUUUGGGGACCUGUAAGUGGCAGAUUCUAAGCUGCUGUAUUGAAUAUUGUCCCAACAGGAAUGUUUAUGUAGUUGUAUUCUCAUUUUGCCUGGCUCCUGUUUUAACCGUAGCCCCUAAAGCACUUUGUUUCUGGGAGGCUGGCCUCUUGCCUACCUCCUUGCAUGGACAGGACAGUGAAUAUUUACUCUUCCACCUCCUUGCUUUUCCUCCACUGAUACCACUGAAUGGAACUGGUGCUGUGACUUCUGCCGCUGGGGUUUCUGGCCUCUCCCAAGACCUCAGCCUGGCUGAGUGGGGCCUGAGACCCAUGUAACAGCUCAUGGCCAUCCAUGAGAAAGGAGUAGUUGGCCACAGCCCAAGGGAGAGGCAACAACUCGGGGGCCUUUGUUUUGGAAAGGCUGUCCGGGCUGACACAGUCUCUUCUAGUUAUAAAGCAGCGACAUGGCUAUCUUUUCUGCAGGCUUAGAGUGGGCUCCUUUCAUUUUUGAGUCCUUUUCUUCUCUUUUAGUAACAGUUCCCUGCCCCCAGGGUUUCAGCCGCCAGUGUCCCUGGGCUGUAUUGCAGGGGGGCCGUCUGUUCAGUCCAGUAGGGCUCAAGGGCUUUGUUUCUGCCUAGAAGAGAGGGCUCUGGGGAUGGAGAUGAGGAACAACAAGCCCUCCUUCAGACAAUGAGGCAUUCUGCCCUCCUGCUGCCAUUAUUCCUCUUCACUGAGAGCCAGAGCUGGUGGAGCGGAGUGCCGCAGGCAUUCUGUAUUACUCUGCUCUUAGGUUCUUCUCUCACCCACUCCACCUUCCUAUGGCCAUCCUACCCUGUCUGUGGGCUCUUUUACUACCAGCCUAUGCUGUGGGACUGUCAUGGCAUUUAGUUCAGAGUUGAGGGGCUUUGGCCUGAAAUAAAAUGCAAGUAUUUAAGACUGUUGUUGCAAUUUGUGUCUAACAAGGUGUAGCAGAGAAGGAGGGAGUAAGGGCUGGCAGUACUUUCAUAAAUCAUGAAUUUAUCAGCGUGGAAAUAAUGGUUCAGAACUGUGCACUGCAGCUCUCCUGCAUUGUGUGCGCAGCUCAAGUUCACCACUGGAGGAAGGAUUGCCUUCCAAAGAGCCGGAAUCCAGCUCUUCUCACAGUUCUGGGCAUGAACCUUGUUAGUAUAAUUUACCUGAUGCUGCUUCCGUGCUCGAAGCCUGUCUGAGGUGCCAGGUGCUGAAAGAGAAAUAAAGUUUGUCAACUGGCA
This is a non-coding RNA of Microcebus murinus (gray mouse lemur), 3390 nucleotides long. NCBI's taxonomy places the organism in Eukaryota, Metazoa, Chordata, Mammalia, Primates, Cheirogaleidae. The record is from RefSeq and is a predicted model, not a curated record.